Labrus mixtus (cuckoo wrasse) is the source of this 293-nucleotide long non-coding RNA. RefSeq lists it as uncharacterized. The transcript is spliced from 2 exons. NCBI's taxonomy places the organism in Eukaryota, Metazoa, Chordata, Actinopteri, Labriformes, Labridae. The record is from RefSeq and is a predicted model, not a curated record.
UGUGUGUGUGUGUGUGGAUGAGAGAGAAAGAGAGAACAAGAUGGUGGAGAGAGACAAUGCACCAACUCUCUGAGUUCAGUAACUGUUACUUAAACACCAGAAAGCCAGUGGCCGGACUUUGAUUCAACGGCAGGUACACUGGUCUUUCUGAUUGUGAAAGCCGUUGACUGAAGGUAAACUAGCAUAGCAUUACAUACAUAGGCGAACACAGCAGUUCAUCACAAUAAAACAAAUGCAGCAGCUUACAACAGAUAAUAAACAGAAUGUGACGUCUCGUCAACAAUGAUGCAUAA